CCUACGGGGGGCAGCAGUGAGGAAUAUUGGUCAAUGGCCGGGAGUCUGAACCAGCCAAGCCGCGUGAAGGACGAAUGUGCCAAGCAUUGUAAACUUCUUUUGUCAGGGAACAAAACCAGGUAUGCGUACCCGAUUGUGUGUACCUGAAGAAUAAGCAUCGGCUAACUCCGUGCCAGCAGCCGCGGUAAUACGGAGGAUGCGAGCGUUAUCCGGAUUUAUUGGGUUAAAGGGGUGCGUAGGCGGACUGUUAAGUCAGCGGUAAAAGCCCGGGGCUCAACCCCGGAGUGCCGUUGAAACUGGCAGUCUUGAGUAGACUAGAGGUAUGCGGAAUGCGCGGUGUAGCGGUGAAAUGCUUAGAUAUUGCGCAGAACUCCGAUUGCGAAGGCAGCAUACCGGCGGCGAUCUGACGCUGAGGCACGAAAGCGUGGGUAUCGAACAGGAUUAGAUACCCGUGUAGUC
RNAcentral lists this ribosomal RNA (459 nucleotides) under uncultured bacterium. RNAcentral's name for it is "partial 16S ribosomal RNA". It matches the Rfam family "Bacterial small subunit ribosomal RNA", at positions 338 to 795 of the family's 1533-position model. The record is from RNAcentral.